CAGCCGCCACGGGAACACAGAGGAUGCAAGCGUUGUCCGGAAUUAUUGGGCGUAAAGGGCUCGCAGGCGGUUUCUUAAGUCUGAUGUGAAAGCCCCCGGCUCAACCGGGGAGGGUCAUUGGAAACUGGGAAACUUGAGUGCAGAAGAGGAGAGUGGAAUUCCACGUGUAGCGGUGAAAUGCGUAGAGAUGUGGAGGAACACCAGUGGCGAAGGCGACUCUCUGGUCUGUAACUGACGCUGAGGAGCGAAAGCGUGGGGAGCGAACAGGAUUAGAUACCCCAGUAGUCCCUGUCUCUUAUAC
RNAcentral lists this ribosomal RNA (301 nucleotides) under uncultured bacterium. RNAcentral's name for it is "partial 16S ribosomal RNA". It matches the Rfam family "Bacterial small subunit ribosomal RNA", at positions 509 to 807 of the family's 1533-position model. The record is from RNAcentral.